AACAGAUUAAUAUUCAGCAGAGCGAUAAAUGCAUCCUUCUCCUUAAUUCUGCUGCAGGCAACCCUGCAGGCACCUCUGUCCUUGGUUGCUUUGAUCAGCUCCACCUGUGCCCACACCUGCUGCCCAUGGACGGCUAUACUUCUGACUUUUUACUCUGCCUUUGACUGGAGUUUGUGGGGCUGUGGUUGGAGGUUUUGGCUGCUGUGGAACUGCUACAUUGGCUUAGUGAACCUAUCUGUACCUGUUGGCGAUUUGAACCUCUGCCCACACAGCCCUGUGACCAGAGACUUUCAACAGGUUUGUCUCCUUGGCUGCAAUAGAGGGAAGAUGACGUUUCCUUUCUUUGUCUUUGUGAAGCUGAAAAAGAUUGAUGCCCUUUAAGAAGAAUCUAAGGCUAUGUACUUCUAUAUUUUAACAUUUGGAAGUUGUGUUUUCAUAGCUGAAAUUUAACAGUGCUUCAAUUGAUCUACUAUUCCAUCUGUGUCUAAUCACUGCUGGGCCAAUACUUACAAACUCCCCAGACCAUGAAUCACACUUAAGUAAUCAUCAAUCUAUUGAAAACAUGUUGACUGCUGCUUACCUCAGCCUCAAAAAUCUGUAAUCCAUGUUAUUCUGUGGGCCACAGCUUGGUAGCUAUCAGUUAAAAUGUUAUUUCAGGUGCAGGGAAACCAGCAGAACAUUUUGGUGUAUGCGUUGAAAACUUUUCAGUAAACUGACUUUUACCACAAAAUUUAAAACUCUGUGGCAUUUAGAAAAGAGACACACCUUCCCUCCUGCC
This 778-nucleotide long non-coding RNA is filed under the name Phasianus colchicus (ring-necked pheasant). Its description in RNAcentral is "lncRNA (ENSPCLG00000007106.1)". Lineage: Eukaryota; Metazoa; Chordata; Aves; Galliformes; Phasianidae. The record is from RNAcentral.